AUGCCGCCGGACUUGGUGGACUGGCUGUACAUGGGGCUGGAGCUGCUGAUCGCCGCCCUGUCCAUCGCCGGCAACGUGCUGGUGUGCUGGGCCGUGGCCACCAACAGCACGCUGAAGAACGCCACCAACUACUUCCUCGUGUCCCUGGCGGUGGCCGACAUCGCCGUGGGGCUGCUGGCCAUCCCCUUCGCCGUGGUCAUCAGCGUCGGCCUCCGCACCGACUUCCGCAGCUGCCUCUUCCUCGCCUGCUUCGUGCUGGUGCUCACCCAGAGCUCCAUCUUCAGCAUGCUGGCCGUGGCCGUCGACAGGUACCUGGCCAUCAGGUUCCCGCUCAGGUACAAGGGUUUGGUGACUGGGAGGAGAGCAAGGAGCGUCAUAGCUCUGCUUUGGAUUCUCUCCUUUGGCAUUGGCUUGACUCCACUCAUGGGGUGGCACAAAAGCUUCGGAAAUGCUACCCAAAACUGCUCCAAUACUACAGGGCAGCUGAGGGAUUCUACCUGCGACACGGAGGUUGAAUGUCUCUUUGAGAAUGUUGUCACCAUGAGCUACAUGGUCUAUUUCAACUUCUUCGGGUGCGUUUUACCGCCGCUCAUCAUCAUGCUGGGAAUCUACAUCAAGAUAUUCAUGGUGGCCUGCAAGCAGUUUCGGCGCAUAGAGCUGAUGGACAAUUCACGGACCAUCCUCCAAAGGGAGGUCAAUGCAGCCAAGUCCCUGGCUAUCAUUGUGGGGAUUUUCGCCAUGUGUUGGCUGCCCCUCCACACCAUGAACUGUAUCACUUUCUUCCACUCUAAAAUUCAGCAGAAAUGGGUCUUCUAUGUGCCUAUCAUCUUGUCCCACGCCAACUCAGUCAUCAACCCCAUUAUCUAUGCUUACCGGAUCAGAGACUUUCGCUGCACCUUCCGUAAAAUCAUUUCCAAGUACAUCCUCUGUAGGAAGGAUGACUUUCCCAAGUGCAGCAAUGAACACUCCAGGAAGUCCCACAUCAGCAAUGUGGACAACUGCCAUGCCUGCGUGUAACCGUCCCAUCCCUCCACCACAAGGACACAGGUGACAUCACCAUCACUCCCAGAUGAGCCUGAGAGAGGACAGCUUCCAUCUCAAUGCCUCAGCAGAUGGAAUUACUGGGCACAUCUGCAUGCUUUAAGUGAGGCUGAAGGUUGAAGAGGGAAAUCUACCACUGUGGUAUUAACUUCUGUUGUGGGGUGAAUUUUGAUGCCCUUAAGUUUGUUCAGAAGUUAACUUGGCAUACAUUGUACAAGUACUCAGCAAUGACUUGCAGGUAGUGCCUUAUGUUCUUCACCAAUUAUCUGGUGCAGUGUGUAUUCUCAAAUGGGAGAGACUUUGGGGCCAGUGUUACUGUGCAACCACAAUGGUUUCAGCCCAGAGUUCUUGGCCUAUGUUAAAAAAAAAUUGUGAAACUUGGAUCCUGACAGAUGUGAACUUGCUCCAGGAAGGAAGUCUGGUUUGGAGGAAAUGGGAGCUAACUGUAAGAGUCCGUGUGUGAUUGACGCCUAUGAUGAUAUAAAACCUGUUUACAAAUGGAGCUGAGGGAAAGGUCAAAGAAAGCAGGGUUUGCUCCCAGUUCACAAUAUGGUUACCUUACCUUGAAUAAACUUCAAGGUCUUGCCUAACCCAGAAAAACAGGUAAGGUGGGAGGAGAGGGUGUGAGGAUGAGAGCAGCAGCUGCCUUAGAAACAAGCAUAAACAGAGCACGAUUCAUCUGUAAAUACAUUGAACCACUAACAUAACUAGACAAAGGCAAUUCAUUUUCAUUAAUAUAACAUAAGACUGUCACUAAGUUUCAAUUCUCCCAUUGACAGCAGUGAAUAAUGGAUGUGAAUCCUUCACCACCUUCUGCUGACAUGCUUGCUGGGCCUGCACUGGGGAUUAGCCCAUGAUGAGCUAUGUGUGUUGUUGUUUCACUGUGUCUAAAUCUGUUCCUCCUAACCCCACUACUCUUGUAAAGAUCAUCUUGGGGAUCCACCCGAAGUACUCUUUCAAGCUGAGGCACUGAAACCUAAGGAGACAAGACUCGAGUGACAGAACGCUGAUCGACUAAAUCCAAAGCCUGGACAGCGGAUGAGCCGAACACAAACUUCAGCCUAGGAAACAGAAAGUCUCCAGAUUAGGUCAUGUGGCCUGCAAUCCAUCUCAGUGACCUGAGGUUAAUGUUCUUAAAUUUAAAAAAGCACUAAAUGAGAAUAUAACGAUCAAAAGCAGAAAAGGAGUUCCAACUAUUCCCCCAGCAACGGUGAAAGUUUUUGUACUGGCACCUUGCCCUUCAAUUCCUCCUUUUCUCUUUCCUUCCUGCAAAUUAUUUCCUAUAAUCAGUAAGUAAAAGCUUUUCCCUGGAAACACAAGGUUUCAAAUCCAUAGAAACAAUAAAGCACCCAUGUCCUUAGGACUAU
Tachyglossus aculeatus (Australian echidna) is the source of this 2408-nucleotide RNA transcript. It is a transcript of the gene named adenosine A2b receptor, with no coding region annotated. The transcript is spliced from 4 exons. NCBI's taxonomy places the organism in Eukaryota, Metazoa, Chordata, Mammalia, Monotremata, Tachyglossidae. The record is from RefSeq and is a predicted model, not a curated record.